AGCGAACGCUGGCGGCAGGCUUAACACAUGCAAGUCGAACGCCCGGGCAACCGGGAGUGGCAGACGGGUGAGUAACACGUGGGAACGUACCCUUUGGUUCGGAAUAACUCAGGGAAACUUGAGCUAAUACCGGAUAAGCCCUUUUGGGGAAAGAUUUAUCGCCGAAGGAUCGGCCCGCGUCCGAUUAGCUAGUUGGUGAGGUAACGGCUCACCAAGGCGAUGAUCGGUAGCUGGUCUGAGAGGAUGACCAGCCACACUGGGACCGAGACACGGCCCAGACUCCUGGGGGAGGAAGCAGUGGGGAAUAUUGGACAAUGGGGGCAACCCUGAGCCGGCCAUGCCGCGUGAGUGAUGAAGGCCCUAGGGUUGUAAAGCUCUUUCGGCGGGGACGAUAAUGACGGUACCCGCAGAAGAAGCCCCGGCUAACUUCGUGCCAGCCGCCGCCGUAA
Molecule: ribosomal RNA, 449 nt
Filed under: uncultured bacterium
Lineage: Bacteria
Description: partial 16S ribosomal RNA
Rfam family: Bacterial small subunit ribosomal RNA
Source: RNAcentral